UCAAGUUCAGCGGGUAUUCCUACCUGAUCCGAGGUCAACCUUGAUAUGUGGGGGGUUUCACGGCAAGAACCCGACGCGUUCCCUGAGCGAGGAUGUUUACUACACUCUGUACGACGACGAGCCCGCCACUGGAUUUGGGAGCUACGGCAGCCGUAGGGCUCCAACGCAAGCCGGGGGCUUGAUGGUCGAAAUGACGCUCG
RNAcentral lists this unclassified non-coding RNA (200 nucleotides) under uncultured Schizothecium. Its description in RNAcentral is "sequence contains ITS2". The record is from RNAcentral. Lineage: Eukaryota; Fungi; Ascomycota; Sordariomycetes; Sordariales; Lasiosphaeriaceae.